CCGUUUAGGGGUAAACCUGAGAAACCCGAAAGGUCGAAGGGAGAAAUUCAUUCGCGUUUCGCCGUUGGCGUGAGACGUUCGUGUGACGGAAAACGUUCGCGUUUUCCGCGCCUUUCGUUUUUCGAUCCGAUAGCGAACGCGUGCACUUUUCUCCUGGUAGGACGUCGCGAUCCGUUGGGUGUCGGUCUACGGCUCGCGGUGGAGCCCGGACGUACGGCUUGCCGUCACGUUCGGACCCGCGUGUCCCGGCUGACUCGCUCGACGGUAUACGAAAGGUUUAAGGCCGCUCUUAGAGCGUUCGGCUCGUUGCAAGCGCGUCAGUUGUGUCGGCGAUCGGACCUAGUGCCGGUUCUGACCUCUGGCGACUGUUGGCUGCGAAGUUCUCGAACAGACCUUYGACCGAUCUGCGACGCUAUAGCUUUGGGUACUUUCAGGACCCGUCUUGAAACACGGACCAAGGAGUCUAGCAUGUGCGCGAGUCAUUGGGAAUCACUAAACCUAAAGGCGCAAUGAAAGUAAAAGUKCGCCUCGCGCGGACUGAGGGAAGACGAGCGGUUUACCCUUAAAAGUGGCCGCUCCGCACUCCCGGGGCGUCUCAUUCUCAUCGCGAGAAGAGGCGCACCAAGAGCGUACACGCUGGGACCCGAAAGAUGGUGAACUAUGCCUGGUCAGGACGAAGUCAGGGGAAACCCUGAUGGAGGUCCGUAGCGAUUCUGACGUGCAAAUCGAUCGUCGGAACUGGGUAUAGGGGCGAAAGACUAAUCGAACCAUCUA
Molecule: ribosomal RNA, 774 nt
Filed under: Rhigopsidius piercei
Lineage: Eukaryota; Metazoa; Arthropoda; Insecta; Coleoptera; Curculionidae
Description: eukaryotic LSU rRNA
Rfam family: Eukaryotic large subunit ribosomal RNA
Source: RNAcentral